AGCGAACGCUGGCGGCAGGCUUAACACAUGCAAGUCGAACGCCCCGCAAGGGGAGUGGCAGACGGGUGAGUAACACGUGGGAACGUACCCUUUGGUUCGGAAUAACUUGGGGAAACUCAAGCUAAUACCGGAUAAGCCCUUAUGGGGAAAGGUUUACUGCCGAAGGAUCGGCCCGCGUCUGAUUAGCUAGUUGGUGAGGUAAUGGCUCACCAAGGCGACGAUCAGUAGCUGGUCUGAGAGGAUGAUCAGCCACACUGGGACUGAGACACGGCCCAGACUCCUACGGGAGGCAGCGGUGGGGAAUAUUGGACAAUGGGGGCAACCCUGAUCCAGCCAUGCCGCGUGAGUGAUGAAGGCCUUAGGGUUGUAAAGCUCUUUUACCCGGGACGAUGAUGACUGUACCGGGAGAAUAAGCCCCGGCUAACUUCGUGCCAGCAGCCGCGGUAA
Molecule: ribosomal RNA, 447 nt
Filed under: uncultured bacterium
Lineage: Bacteria
Description: partial 16S ribosomal RNA
Rfam family: Bacterial small subunit ribosomal RNA
Source: RNAcentral